This 254-nucleotide ribosomal RNA is filed under the name uncultured bacterium. RNAcentral's name for it is "partial 16S ribosomal RNA". It matches the Rfam family "Bacterial small subunit ribosomal RNA", at positions 524 to 776 of the family's 1533-position model. The record is from RNAcentral.
UACGGGGGGAGCAAGCGUUGUUCGGAUUUACUGGGCGUAAAGGGCGCGUAGGCGGCCUCCGCAAGUCAGUUGUGAAAUCUCCGAGCUUAACUCGGAAAGGUCGACUGAUACUGCGGGGCUAGAGUGCGGAAGGGGCAACUGGAAUUCUUGGUGUAGCGGUGAAAUGCGUAGAUAUCAAGAGGAACACCUGCGGCGAAGGCGGGUUGCUGGGCCGACACUGACGCUGAGGCGCGAAAGCUAGGGGAGCGAACGGG